Molecule: ribosomal RNA, 773 nt
Filed under: Bacillus sp. (in: firmicutes)
Lineage: Bacteria; Bacillati; Bacillota; Bacilli; Caryophanales; Bacillaceae
Description: bacterial SSU rRNA
Rfam family: Bacterial small subunit ribosomal RNA
Source: RNAcentral
GAAAAGCUUGCUUUUCAAAACUUAGCGGCGGACGGGUGAGUAACACGUGGGCAACCUGCCCUUGAGACGGGGAUAACUCCGGGAAACCGGAGCUAAUACCGGAUAACACAUAUCUUCGCAUGAGGAUAUGUUAGAAGGUGGCUUUUAGCUACCACUCAAGGAUGGGCCCGCGGCGCAUUAGCUAGUUGGUGAGGUAACGGCUCACCAAGGCGACGAUGCGUAGCCGACCUGAGAGGGUGAUCGGCCACACUGGGACUGAGACACGGCCCAGACUCCUACGGGAGGCAGCAGUAGGGAAUCUUCCGCAAUGGACGAAAGUCUGACGGAGCAACGCCGCGUGAGUGAUGAAGGUUUUCGGAUCGUAAAGCUCUGUUGUUAGGGAAGAACAAGUACCUGUUAAAUAAGCAGGUACCUUGACGGUACCUAACCAGAAAGCCACGGCUAACUACGUGCCAGCAGCCGCGGUAAUACGUAGGUGGCAAGCGUUGUCCGGAAUUAUUGGGCGUAAAGCGCGCGCAGGCGGUUCCUUAAGUCUGAUGUGAAAGCCCACGGCUCAACCGUGGAGGGUCAUUGGAAACUGGGGAACUUGAGUGCAGAAGAGGAGAGCGGAAUUCCACGUGUAGCGGUGAAAUGCGUAGAGAUGUGGAGGAACACCAGUGGCGAAGGCGGCUCUCUGGUCUGUAACUGACGCUGAGGCGCGAAAGCGUGGGGAGCGAACAGGAUUAGAUACCCUGGUAGUCCACGCCGUAAACGAUGAGUGCUAAGUGUUAGAG